UUACAAUGUCAGAAUUUGUUGAACAACAA
Molecule: non-coding RNA, 29 nt
Filed under: Rattus norvegicus (Norway rat)
Lineage: Eukaryota; Metazoa; Chordata; Mammalia; Rodentia; Muridae
Source: RNAcentral